RNAcentral lists this transfer RNA (51 nucleotides) under Sicarius diadorim. RNAcentral describes it as "tRNA-Leu". The record is from RNAcentral. Lineage: Eukaryota; Metazoa; Arthropoda; Arachnida; Araneae; Sicariidae.
ACACCCUACUGGCAGAUAAAUGCAAUAGACUUAGAUUCUAUCCAUCAAAAC